GUCGCUGCGUUUGCGGCUUCCCGAAGCCGUCGGGGCCUUGCUGGGCUUCCUUUCCGGCUGACUUCCUCCCCACCCCCGCUAUGGGGUGGAGACAAAGCCUUGGGGAGUUAGCAGUGCUGUUUUGUUGGCAACGACCACUCUCCUGGUUCUAGAAAAACUGGAAAUAACCUGUGGUUAUGCUUCCCUGUGAUCAGCCACUUCCUGACCCAGCCCCUGACCAGGAAGGAGAGCUUCCUACCAACAAGCUAAUCAGGAACAUCAGGUUUACAGAGAGCCAGUGGAGGAGCUGCUCCACUCUACGCGGGGGACUUCGAGGCCACACCCUGAAACUGCUGUCGGAAAGAGAGAUCACCGUAAGAAAAAUACAGGUCUUUUCCCAAGUCAAAGAAAGGCUUCUUUUCCUCCUAACUUUGAUCAUACCACUUAAUCAUUCACAGUCUAAGCUCAAUGUCCUGCUAUUUAUAUAGAGAGAAAUUCUUCCAGGAAAUGGGCCACAUGCCUUUGCAUUCCACAUAGUAUUUCUUUUAUAACAGGUAUAAUGUGUUUUUCGAGGGAAUGGCUUAUAUCUAAGAGUAAUACUUCAUCUAUGGACUAUAUAAAAUGGCCUCAAAUUCAUCACAGAAGCAAAAGGAAAGCUAUGGAUGUUGGGUAGCCCGUUCCAGCACACACACACACACACACACACACACACACACACACACACACACACUCUCACACACAUCUAUGAUCAACUGUAUUAGGGAAAUGCUGGAUUAUAAUACUUAAAUUGUUUAUUGACUUCAAAACGUCUCAAGUUCUUAAAUAUGCUAAUGUGUGAAAUGUAAUUAUAAGAGGAGAACAUAAUUUGGAGUAUUUUACCCAAAUGUUUUUGAUCAAUGGGACCCUUUUGUGUUGCAUAAUGUUACUCAAACACAUUCAGUCUUUGUAUGUUAUACAAUCCCGAUUUAUUAAAGGAUGUGCAUUUGCCUAAGACGGGUGACAUCUGGGAGUGUGCACUGGAUUGGACAGAACUCCAAGGGAGGACGGUGAUGAAAAUUCAAUGCAAAACUAGCUUCGGUUAAACUAAAAUGCACCAGCUGUGCAGCUGAGACCCAUUAUAAAGCAUCUUCGUUCAGGGCUGAGUAGGUAUUUGUCUUUGCUCUUUCUUGGUCAUUUUCUCUCUCUCUUUCUGCCUUUCAGUUCUGCUUUUCCGUUACCACCUCCUCCCGACAAGGCUCUUUCUAUGAGGUGGCAAACCUGUGAUUUCAGAAGGGAAGGGGCCUCUUUUCUGGGAAUCCCAGCACAACCUAGAGAGGGUGCUCAUUGGCCAGUUUGGGUGAUGGAUCCAUUUGUAAUCCAAACACUGUGGACAGGGGAAUGCAGGAUAACGGGGGGCUCAGGUCAAGGUCCCAUGUUCACCCCAUGACGGAGGUGAAAGAGGAGUUAUUUCCACUCAACUACACAGAAUAGGGUCUAAGAGAGACACAAGGCAGAAGAAGAGAUGCCAGGCAGGCAAAAAAAAUCAACAGAUGUCUACUGCUUUUUUCAUGCACACCUCAAAUCUGGCGGGGUGCCUCCUUCCGCAGGCUUCCCACUUGUUUUAAGCCUAUGCCACUGCUGUCAUAUCUGGUGCCUCAAUGAGUCAUGAAAUUGAUCAGCUAUCUUCACUUGGAAGGAAACAUUUCUCAGACAGCACCCUUCUCUCUUUUCCUUGCACAAAUGGCUAACUCUGUAAGCCAAACAGUGACAAGAUUCUCUGUCUCUCUCUCUUGGUUUUUUGUUUUUGUUUUUUGUUUUUUUUUUCACUUUUUAGGUCCGCGCUCGAGGCAUAUGGAAUUUCCCGGGCUAGGGGUUAAAUCAGAGCUGCAGCUGCUGGCCUACGCCACAGCCACAGCAACACUGGAUCUGAGCCACGUCCACGACCUACACCACAGUUCAUGGCAAUGCCGGAUCCUUACUCCCUGCUGAGCAAGGCCAGGGAUUGAACAUGCGUCCAGGUUCCUUUCCGCUGAGCCGCAGCACAAACUCCAAGGAUGUUUUUCCUUAGCAGGUCACCAUGAGGAGCUCUUUUCUGAUCAUUUGGAUUCAGCUGGUCUGGGAUGGUGCUUAUUCAUCUAUAUUUUCCCCAGAGUUCCACAGUUAAUCCAAAUGCACACUCACAUUUGAAGACCACUGUUUGAAAAGAGUAAGAUGUUUAAGGUAAGAUCAGGGAACUAGAUUUCAAGGUUUAACACAAGACUGGUGGCUAAAACUAUGUGGGCGGACAGCUACCAUAACUCGAGAACGGCCAUGAAUGUGAGCAGCCUGGAAGCUGCAUGGCCCCAGCAUUCGAAAGCAGAUGCUGCAGAAAGAACUCGAGCCAGGCAGGCUAAGGACAUGUGAUGUGGACUUCGGAAGCCCUUUCAGGUAACGGGCAUGACUGAGCAAUACUUGGAAACCGAAAAGGAUGAAGGCUUACAAUUCAGCAAGCUGAGAGCUUUUGGGAAAGGGAUGGGGCAGAGAACAGGAGGAGAGGGUUUGAGCAAAGGCACCUGAACUUGCAAGGUCAAGAGGCAGAGCUUUAAGCAGCAACAGCUUCUACAGGAAGACGAAGGAUAAAAUACACAUUUUCCAAGACCAUAAGCCAGUUGUCUCAGCCCUCCUGACACGUGGAUAACAAUGCUUCAGCGGUGUCAUCUUAGACUAUGGAAGGAUCCUGAAGGACCCUGAGCAAGGUCUGAAGAAAGAACAACAAAAUGAGAGGAGAAUAAAGAAACAGCAAGAAGCAUGAAUGUAGAAGCUGAGUCAACGGAGCCCAGGCUACCAGAGGCCCUGGCUCUCUAAGGCUGCUACUCACAAUGGCCAUCACCACCACCUACAGCACCUGCCAUUCCCUACCAUUUAUUGAGGACUUGCUGUGUGCCAAGGACUGAAGAAGCAGGCCAGCACCUCUGAUCAUCUAACUUGUAAGUGGCAGAUCCUGGAUCUGAACCAAAGUAUGCCUAAAUGCAAAGCCACGCUUUCACACCCUGAGAGAUGGUGAAUACAGACAGUCUCCAGUGAGACACGGCUAUAUAUUUGCCAAAAAUUUUUUAUACUGUUUCGCUUUCCUUUGUACUCCCUAUGCAGCCUCUCAAUAAACAAGGUUCCCU
This 3110-nucleotide long non-coding RNA is filed under the name Sus scrofa (pig). RNAcentral describes it as "lncRNA (ENSSSCG00060063550.1)". Lineage: Eukaryota; Metazoa; Chordata; Mammalia; Artiodactyla; Suidae. The record is from RNAcentral.